GCUGGGUGUGGUGGUAUACAUCUGUAAUCCUAGCUACUCAGGAGGCUGAGGCAGGAGGAUUGCAAAUUUGAGGCCAGUCUUUUGUAAGAUCCUACUUUAA
Molecule: small RNA, 100 nt
Filed under: Marmota monax (woodchuck)
Lineage: Eukaryota; Metazoa; Chordata; Mammalia; Rodentia; Sciuridae
Source: RNAcentral